RNAcentral lists this unclassified non-coding RNA (609 nucleotides) under Aspergillus terreus. Its description in RNAcentral is "sequence contains 18S rRNA gene, ITS1, 5.8S rRNA gene, ITS2, 28S rRNA gene". The stretch from base 231 to 384 matches the Rfam family "5.8S ribosomal RNA". Lineage: Eukaryota; Fungi; Ascomycota; Eurotiomycetes; Eurotiales; Aspergillaceae. The record is from RNAcentral.
UCGUAACAAGGUUUCCGUAGGUGAACCUGCGGAAGGAUCAUUACCGAGUGCGGGUCUUUAUGGCCCAACCUCCCACCCGUGACUAUUGUACCUUGUUGCUUCGGCGGGCCCGCCAGCGUUGCUGGCCGCCGGGGGGCGACUCGCCCCCGGGCCCGUGCCCGCCGGAGACCCCAACAUGAACCCUGUUCUGAAAGCUUGCAGUCUGAGUGUGAUUCUUUGCAAUCAGUUAAAACUUUCAACAAUGGAUCUCUUGGUUCCGGCAUCGAUGAAGAACGCAGCGAAAUGCGAUAACUAAUGUGAAUUGCAGAAUUCAGUGAAUCAUCGAGUCUUUGAACGCACAUUGCGCCCCCUGGUAUUCCGGGGGGCAUGCCUGUCCGAGCGUCAUUGCUGCCCUCAAGCCCGGCUUGUGUGUUGGGCCCUCGUCCCCCGGCUCCCGGGGGACGGGCCCGAAAGGCAGCGGCGGCACCGCGUCCGGUCCUCGAGCGUAUGGGGCUUCGUCUUCCGCUCCGUAGGCCCGGCCGGCGCCCGCCGACGCAUUUAUUUGCAACUUGUUUUUUUCCAGGUUGACCUCGGAUCAGGUAGGGAUACCCGCUGAACUUAAGCAUAUCA